UAGCUCACAUAUUAGUUGAGGAACAACUUCAGGCUGGUCAUUUAGAGCCCCUACACUCUGCCCUUGGAACACACCCAUCUUUGUAAUUAGAAAAAAAUCUGGUAACGGGAGAUUAUUACAAGACCUAAGAUCUAUUAAUUGUGUUAUAGAGCUCAUGGGAGAGUUACAAUAUGGGCUUCCUUCUCCUACAGCUAUUCCUUUAGAUUAUUAUUUGAUAAUAAUAGAUCUGAAAGAUUCCUUCUUCUCUAUACCUUUGCACCCAGAUGACUAUAAAGAGUUUGCCUUUAG
Molecule: non-coding RNA, 288 nt
Filed under: Marmota monax (woodchuck)
Lineage: Eukaryota; Metazoa; Chordata; Mammalia; Rodentia; Sciuridae
Source: RNAcentral